UUCCGUAGUAUAGUGGUCAGUAUGCAAGCUUGUCACGCUUGAGACCCGGGUUCAAUUCCCGGCGGGA
RNAcentral lists this transfer RNA (67 nucleotides) under Fusarium langsethiae. It matches the Rfam family "tRNA". Rfam says of the family: Transfer RNA (tRNA) molecules are approximately 80 nucleotides in length. Their secondary structure includes four short double-helical elements and three loops (D, anti-codon, and T loops). Further hydrogen bonds mediate the characteristic L-shaped molecular structure. tRNAs have two regions of fundamental functional importance: the anti-codon, which is responsible for specific mRNA codon recognition, and the 3' end, to which the tRNAs corresponding amino acid is attached (by aminoacyl-tRNA synthetases). tRNAs cope with the degeneracy of the genetic code in two manners: having more than one tRNA (with a specific anti-codon) for a particular amino acid; and 'wobble' base-pairing, i.e. permitting non-standard base-pairing at the 3rd anti-codon position. The record is from Rfam by way of RNAcentral. Lineage: Eukaryota; Fungi; Ascomycota; Sordariomycetes; Hypocreales; Nectriaceae.